GAGUUUGAUCUUGGCUCAGAACGAACGCUGGCGGCAUGCCUAACACAUGCAAGUCGAACGAGACCUUCGGGUCUAGUGGCGCACGGGUGCGUAACGCGUGGGAAUCUGCCCUUGGGUUCGGAAUAACAGUUAGAAAUGACUGCUAAUACCGGAUGAUGACUUCGGUCCAAAGAUUUAUCGCCCAGGGAUGAGCCCGCGUAGGAUUAGCUUGUUGGUGAGGUAAAAGCUCACCAAGGCGACGAUCCUUAGCUGGUCUGAGAGGAUGAUCAGCCACACUGGGACUGAGACACGGCCCAGACUCCUACGGGAGGCAGCAGUGGGAAUUUUGGACAAGUGGGGCAACCCUGAUCCAGCAAU
RNAcentral lists this ribosomal RNA (357 nucleotides) under uncultured Alphaproteobacteria bacterium. Its description in RNAcentral is "bacterial SSU rRNA". It matches the Rfam family "Bacterial small subunit ribosomal RNA", at positions 9 to 395 of the family's 1533-position model. The record is from RNAcentral. Lineage: Bacteria; Pseudomonadati; Pseudomonadota; Alphaproteobacteria.